This 70-nucleotide transfer RNA is filed under the name Dipsastraea rotumana. RNAcentral describes it as "tRNA-Lys". The record is from RNAcentral. Lineage: Eukaryota; Metazoa; Cnidaria; Anthozoa; Scleractinia; Merulinidae.
ACCGAUAUAGUAAAUUCAACUAAUUUCAUUUGAGUAGUGGAACAUCUGGAUAUCAAAUGUGGGAUCGGUC